GACUAAAUCAUUUUGUCUGUUAAGUCUCAGGUAGAUGCAUCUCUUAUAAGCUACAAUACAUGAAUCAUCGUAGAAUAUAAGUCUUAAACUUAUCAUUACCAUCACCUCAAAGAAAACUGCCAGGCUCUGAAGAAAGACAUGGAGGACCCAGAUGAAAGGGAAACAAGAUAUGUACAUACACAUGAAGAAAGAACUGAAGGUCAUAUUAGAUUUACUCAUGUUGGCCCAUACUCUGUGCGCUUAGAAUGGGGAGAACCAGCUGUGGACAUGUGUGGACAACAAGCAUACAAAAUCAGAUGGAAGUCUGCAGUAGUAACUUAUUCUUACACAACAAAAGCAAAUAAUUAUGAGAUAACAAAUCUCUCACCUUGCACAACAUAUAACAUCACAGUUGUGGGAACUGAGGACAACAAGUGUUUCUCUGAAUCUGUGUGUACAGGUAAAAUUAUUGCUGCUAAUACUGCUCAUUUACAUUAUAUUAUGUUCAAAAUAUAUGAUAUAUGAUCAAAUUUAGCCAUUUUCUUCAAUGACUCCUUGGUACCAAAAGUAAAACAUCAGUAUAUAAGAGCAUUACAAAAAGCAGCAUAUCUAAAUUAAUUAAAAGUA
This is a long non-coding RNA of Labeo rohita (rohu), 606 nucleotides long. RefSeq lists it as uncharacterized. NCBI's taxonomy places the organism in Eukaryota, Metazoa, Chordata, Actinopteri, Cypriniformes, Cyprinidae. The transcript has 4 exons. The record is from RefSeq and is a predicted model, not a curated record.